Molecule: non-coding RNA, 360 nt
Organism: Echinops telfairi (small Madagascar hedgehog)
Lineage: Eukaryota; Metazoa; Chordata; Mammalia; Afrosoricida; Tenrecidae
Source: the annotation of a RefSeq genome assembly
AUGUUUGAUGAUUUUCCCUCCAAGGAUAUCUCUGCAGAUGUCCAGAGUGAGGUGCAGCUAGUGGAGUAUGGGGGUGACUUGAGGCAGCCUGAGGGGUCUCUGAUAUUCUCCUGUGCAUCCUCUAGAUUGCCCUUCAGAAGCUAUGACAUGAUCUGUGUCCACCAGGUUCCAGGGAAGGACCUGGAGUGGGUCUCAAGUAUUAGUACCGGCGGUGGUGGUACAUACUACAAAGACUCUGUGAAGGGUCGAUUCACUAUCUCCAAAGACAACUCCGAGAACAUGCUGUAUCUGCAUAUGAACAGCCUGCAAUUGGAGGAGACACCUUUGUAUUUCUGUGUUGCUACCAUCACAGCCAGGUGA